RNAcentral lists this ribosomal RNA (254 nucleotides) under uncultured bacterium. Its description in RNAcentral is "partial 16S ribosomal RNA". It matches the Rfam family "Bacterial small subunit ribosomal RNA", at positions 524 to 776 of the family's 1533-position model. The record is from RNAcentral.
UACGUAGGGUCCGAGCGUUGUCCGGAAUUACUGGGCGUAAAGAGCUCGUAGGUGGUUUGUCGCGUUGUUCGUGAAAACUCACAGCUCAACUGUGGGCGUGCGGGCGAUACGGGCAGACUAGAGUACUGCAGGGGAGACUGGAAUUCCUGGUGUAGCGGUGAAAUGCGCAGAUAUCAGGAGGAACACCGGUGGCGAAGGCGGGUCUCUGGGCAACAACUGACGCUGGAGGAGCGAAAGCGUGGGGAGCGAACAGG